UUUAUGAUUGGUUAGACUAAUUAACAAAAGAAAAAAAACAGCUAUUUUUUUCCCCCUCUCUCUUCCUCGUUUCUCCAAUUCUCAAAAACGUGAAAUCUAUGCUGAAGGUUCGAUCCGUCGAAUUGAGAGAAAAUAUGAGUCAGAAAUGAGUUCUGGAUCUGUCGCUAUCAUCAUUCCAGCGACGCCGGUGACCAUCGACGUUUUCUGGUUCCCCAAAUCGGGAAGUUAACCAAAUCUCUGUGUUUGGUUCAAGGAUGCUCCAAUUUUGUUCCCAUGGUGUUGCCUUCCUUUUGGCCCAAGCUGGUUCGUACUUGACGAAAGUGAAAGUUCAGAUGCUGAACGUAACUGGUAUGUCUCUUGCUGUUCUUGGUCACUACGGAGCCGCAGUUACUGAUCUUGUGCUUCAAGGCCUUCAAGGCCUUCUGGUGAGCGUAGUAGCAAAGCUCAAGUCACUCUUUGCCCAAUUCUCUCAAACAGGUUAUUCUCUUUUUGUUCUUAUGUCUAUAUAUCCCUCGAUGAAUAUAGUUCUCUUUCUGUUUACGAGUUUGUGUUUUGUCUGAGUUCUUGUAUCUGCUUGUAUACUACACUCAACUCUUUUUGUUUGUACUUGUCAUUUAUUGAAUGCAAUAUUUUUAA
Molecule: non-coding RNA, 636 nt
Organism: Camelina sativa (false flax)
Lineage: Eukaryota; Viridiplantae; Streptophyta; Magnoliopsida; Brassicales; Brassicaceae
Source: RefSeq, a predicted model, not a curated record